UUCUUACUCUCCUUAGGCUGAUGAAGGCUUUUAGUAAAUACUUCUGUAGUUCUGGCUCUUCUGUUGGACUCUUGAGAUUUGUUUCUUUGAGUCCUUUCUUGUCAAGGCGGAAAACUUCUCCAAGCCAUACUGCAUUGCAAUGGUAGCUGGAUGUUCAAAGGUAACUGAUGGUCCUGUCAGAUUUACUGUCGCGUUUGUGUGCUUGAACAACCAGGGCCUACUUCCUGAUGAACAUUUGUUAACUGGAAUGAGUAAAAAAAAAAAAAAAAAAAAACACCAAAAACCAAAACAAA
This is a long non-coding RNA of Tympanuchus pallidicinctus (lesser prairie-chicken), 293 nucleotides long. RefSeq lists it as uncharacterized. The transcript is spliced from 2 exons. The record is from RefSeq and is a predicted model, not a curated record. NCBI's taxonomy places the organism in Eukaryota, Metazoa, Chordata, Aves, Galliformes, Phasianidae.